Molecule: small nuclear RNA, 107 nt
Organism: Gorilla gorilla gorilla (western lowland gorilla)
Lineage: Eukaryota; Metazoa; Chordata; Mammalia; Primates; Hominidae
Source: Ensembl
GUGCUGGCUUUGGCCAUACAUAUACUAAAAUUGGAACUAUUCAGAGAAGAUUAGUAUGGUCCCUAUGCAAGGAUGACACGCACAUUUGUGAGUGUCCCUAUUUUUAU